AAAAAAAGGAGAGGGUAAUAAGAUUGAAGAAAAAUCAAAUCAGAUGGACCAUGAAGUAUCCUUUAAAUUAGCCACACAGAGAAAACAGUGAAGUGUUUGGUACACAAGUCAUUAAGGGAGGAAAGAGAAUCACAGGUAUGGAGCCUAGACAAGAAAAUGGAUAAGUCUUAAAAUGUGUGGCUGAAUAGAAGGAGAACUAUUUGGGGAAAGGGAGAGAAUGAAAGUGGGGAUAACAGAUAGUAAUGGCAGUGAAUAUGAUCAAAUACAUUAACACAUGUACAGAACACCCUAAUCAGCCUUGAUAUUUGUGCAAUUACUAUGUACUAAAAAAGGUGGAGGGAAAGAUGGUGACUACAGGAAGGAACUAUAUUUGAGCAGAGGCAGGAUUCGGAGAGAUUAUCUAUA
Long non-coding RNA from Perognathus longimembris pacificus (Pacific pocket mouse), 405 nucleotides. RefSeq lists it as uncharacterized. The transcript has 3 exons. NCBI's taxonomy places the organism in Eukaryota, Metazoa, Chordata, Mammalia, Rodentia, Heteromyidae. The record is from RefSeq and is a predicted model, not a curated record.